ACUAUUGGAAACGAUAGCUAAUACCGCAUAAUCUCUUCGGAGCAAAGAGGGGGACCUUCGGGCCUCUCGCGUCAGGAUUAGCCCAGGUGGGAUUAGCUUGUUGGUGAGGUAAUGGCUCACCAAGGCAACGAUCCCUAGCUGGUCUGAGAGGAUGAUCAGCCACACUGGAACUGAGACACGGUCCAGACUCCUACGGGAGGCAGCAGUGGGGAAUAUUGCACAAUGGGGGAAACCCUGAUGCAGCCAUGCCGCGUGUGUGAAGAAGGCCUUCGGGUUGUAAAGCACUUUCAGUAGGGAGGAAGGUAGUGUAGUUAACACCUGCAUUAUUUGACGUUACCUACAGAAGAAGCACCGGCUAACUCCGUGCCAGC
Molecule: ribosomal RNA, 371 nt
Filed under: Photobacterium damselae subsp. damselae
Lineage: Bacteria; Pseudomonadati; Pseudomonadota; Gammaproteobacteria; Vibrionales; Vibrionaceae
Description: bacterial SSU rRNA
Rfam family: Bacterial small subunit ribosomal RNA
Source: RNAcentral